AAGAACAAUCAGACAUUUAGGGUGUUCUCAAAGGUGAGGUGGGCUCUUACCAAGCCACCUUUCUUUCUGAGGAUUCUAUAUGGGGUUGCUUGGAAUGGAAUCCUGGUACCACAAAGGAAGGACCUGGAGUUGUUUCUAAGGGACCAUCAUUCUGCAGGCAAGAAUGGGAACACACCAUGUACAGUACACACAGUGUUUGAGCAAGAGAGAAAGGAGGGAACAAAAGGAAGACAGCUGGGAGAGAGGAAGGAUUGAACUGAAGAGAAUGUUUCUAAAUGCAAACAUGAAGCACCAGCAUUUACACCAGUGUGACUCAGGGGUGUGAGAGCAGCAAAGACAGAAAGCUGCCUGAGCAUCUCCCAGUGACAAAAUUCAGCAAGGUCUGUGGAGGACUUAUGACUUAUAAGCGGAUGAAACUAAAACUCCUCUCCAAAGCUCUGUUGGAAAGACAAUUAAAGGCACUAGACAGUGAUCUAAUAGCAUAUUUCACAUAUAAGACUCUGCAUAAAGAAAUGUUUACAUUCCUGGAUAUCAUGUAAGAAAACUAAUUUCCCUGGCUAAAGAAUCUGACUAUAGAAGCUUGAAAUACAGUUUAACAAGCUGGA
Non-coding RNA from Taeniopygia guttata (zebra finch), 605 nucleotides. NCBI's taxonomy places the organism in Eukaryota, Metazoa, Chordata, Aves, Passeriformes, Estrildidae. The record is from RefSeq and is a predicted model, not a curated record.